AUACGGAGGGUGCAAGCGUUAUCCGGAAUCAUUGGGUUUAAAGGGUCCGUAGGCGGGCAUAUAAGUCAGUGGUGAAAUGCUGUGGCUCAACCAUAGCACUGCCAUUGAUACUGUAUGUCUUGAAUUAUUGUGAAGUGGUUAGAAUAUGUAGUGUAGCGGUGAAAUGCUUAGAUAUUACAUAGAAUACCGAUUGCGAAGGCAGAUCACUAACAAUAUAUUGACGCUGAUGGACGAAAGCGUAGGUAGCGAACGGGAUUAGAUACCCCGGUAGUCUACGCCGUAAACGAUGGAUACUAGUUGUUUGGUUUUCGGACUGAGUGACUAAGCGAAAGUGAUAAGUAUCCCACCUGGGGAGUACGUUCGCAAGAAUGAAACUCAAAGGAAUUGACGGGGGCCCGCACAAGCGGUGGAGCAUGUGGUUUAAUUCGAUGAUACGCGAGGAACCCUACCAGGGCUUAAAUGUAGUAUGACAGACUGAGAGAUCGGUUUUUC
This 492-nucleotide ribosomal RNA is filed under the name uncultured Dokdonia sp. Its description in RNAcentral is "bacterial SSU rRNA". It matches the Rfam family "Bacterial small subunit ribosomal RNA", at positions 523 to 1016 of the family's 1533-position model. Lineage: Bacteria; Pseudomonadati; Bacteroidota; Flavobacteriia; Flavobacteriales; Flavobacteriaceae. The record is from RNAcentral.